RNAcentral lists this ribosomal RNA (500 nucleotides) under uncultured bacterium. Its description in RNAcentral is "bacterial SSU rRNA". It matches the Rfam family "Bacterial small subunit ribosomal RNA", at positions 899 to 1397 of the family's 1533-position model. The record is from RNAcentral.
ACUCAAAGGAAUUGACGGGGACCCGCACAAGCAGCGGAGCAUGUGGUUUAAUUCGAAGCAACGCGAAGAACCUUACCAGGGCUUGACAUGCCCCUGACCGGUCUAGAGAUAGGCCUUUCUCUUCGGAGACAGGGGACACAGGUGGUGCAUGGUUGUCGUCAGCUCGUGUCGUGAGAUGUUGGGUUAAGUCCCGCAACGAGCGCAACCCUUGUCUUUAGUUGCUAACAGUAUGGCUGAGCACUCUAGAGAGACUGCCGAUGACAAAUCGGAGGAAGGUGGGGAUGACGUCAAAUCAUCAUGCCCUUUAUGUCCUGGGCUACACACGUGCUACAAUGGUCGGUACAACGAGUAGCUACUUAGCGAUAAGAUGCUAAUCUCUUAAAGCCGAUCCCAGUUCGGAUUGCAGGCUGCAACUCGCCUGCAUGAAGUCGGAGUUGCUAGUAAUCGCGAAUCAGAAUGUCGCGGUGAAUGCGUUCCCGGGUCUUGUACACACCGCCCGU